RNAcentral lists this ribosomal RNA (254 nucleotides) under uncultured bacterium. RNAcentral's name for it is "partial 16S ribosomal RNA". It matches the Rfam family "Bacterial small subunit ribosomal RNA", at positions 524 to 777 of the family's 1533-position model. The record is from RNAcentral.
UACGAAGGGGCUAGCGUUGCUCGGAAUCACUGGGCGUAAAGGGUGCGUAGGCGGGUCUUUAAGUCAGGGGUGAAAUCCUGGAGCUCAACUCCAGAACUGCCUUUGAUACUGAAGAUCUUGAGUUCGGGAGAGGUGAGGUGGAACUGCGAGUGUAGAGGUGAAAUUCGUAGAUAUUCGCAAGAACACCAGUGGCGAAGGCGGCUCACUGGCCCGAUACUGACGCUGAGGCACGAAAGCGUGGGGAGCAAAGCAGG